CGCGGGAUGGAGCAGUUGGUAGCUCGUCGGGCUCAUAACCCGAAGGUCACAGGUUCGAGUCCUGUUCCCGCAACCA
Molecule: transfer RNA, 76 nt
Filed under: Pelosinus fermentans
Lineage: Bacteria; Bacillati; Bacillota; Negativicutes; Selenomonadales; Sporomusaceae
Also listed under: 4 other names
Description: tRNA_Met_CAT
Rfam family: tRNA
About the family: Transfer RNA (tRNA) molecules are approximately 80 nucleotides in length. Their secondary structure includes four short double-helical elements and three loops (D, anti-codon, and T loops). Further hydrogen bonds mediate the characteristic L-shaped molecular structure. tRNAs have two regions of fundamental functional importance: the anti-codon, which is responsible for specific mRNA codon recognition, and the 3' end, to which the tRNAs corresponding amino acid is attached (by aminoacyl-tRNA synthetases). tRNAs cope with the degeneracy of the genetic code in two manners: having more than one tRNA (with a specific anti-codon) for a particular amino acid; and 'wobble' base-pairing, i.e. permitting non-standard base-pairing at the 3rd anti-codon position.
Source: RNAcentral